This 468-nucleotide ribosomal RNA is filed under the name uncultured bacterium. RNAcentral's name for it is "partial 16S ribosomal RNA". It matches the Rfam family "Bacterial small subunit ribosomal RNA", at positions 28 to 507 of the family's 1533-position model. The record is from RNAcentral.
GACGAACGCUGGCGGCGUGCUUAACACAUGCCAGUCGAACGGAAAGGCCCUGCUUUUGUUGGGUGCUCGAGUGGCGAACGGGUGAGUAACACGUGAGUAACCUGCCCUUGACUUUGGGAUAACUUCAGGAAACUGCGGCGAAUACCGGAUAGGAGCUCCUGCUGCAUGGUGGGGGUUGGAAAGUUUCGGCGGUUGUGGAUGGACUCGCGGGUUAUCCGCUUGUUUGUGGGGUAGUGGCUUACCAAGGCUUUGACGGGUAGCCGGCCUGGGAGGGUGACCGGCGACAAGGGGACUGAGAGAGGGCGCAGAAUGCUACGGGACGCAGCAGGGGGGAAUCUUGCACAAUGGGCGGAAGCCUGAUGUAGCAACGCCGCGUGCGGAAUAACGGCCUACGGGUUGUAAACCGCUGUCGCCUGUGACGAAGCGGGCGUGACGGUAAUGGGUAAAGAAGCACCGGCUAACUACGUG